GACGAACGCUGACGGUGUGCUUUAGACAUGCAAGUCGAACGCGAAAGCCCUUCGGGGUUAGUAGAGUGGCGAACGGGUGAGUAACACGUGGGCAAUCUGCCCCUCGCAGGGGGACAACCGGAGGAAACUCCGGCUAAUACCCCGUACGCUUGCUGGACCGCAUGGUCCGGCAAGGAAAGGUAGCUUCGGCCAUCCGGCGAGGGAUGAGCCCGCGGUGCAUUAGCUAGUUGGUGAGGUAACGGCUCACCAAGGCAACGAUGCAUAGCUGGUCUGAGAGGAUGAUCAGCCACACUGGGACUGAGACACGGCCCAGACUCCUACGGGAGGCAGCAGUCGGGAAUCUUGCGCAAUGGGCGAAAGCCUGACGCAGCAACACCGUGUGAGCGACGAAGGCCUCGGU
This 400-nucleotide ribosomal RNA is filed under the name uncultured bacterium. Its description in RNAcentral is "bacterial SSU rRNA". It matches the Rfam family "Bacterial small subunit ribosomal RNA", at positions 28 to 423 of the family's 1533-position model. The record is from RNAcentral.